RNAcentral lists this ribosomal RNA (649 nucleotides) under uncultured bacterium. Its description in RNAcentral is "bacterial SSU rRNA". It matches the Rfam family "Bacterial small subunit ribosomal RNA", at positions 80 to 764 of the family's 1533-position model. The record is from RNAcentral.
UUGACCUCUCGGAGGACGGCGGACGGGUGAGUAACGCGUGGGAAUAUGCCUCUUGGUACGGAAUAGCCUCUGGAAACGGAGAGUAAUACCGUAUGUGCCCUUCGGGGGAAAGAUUUAUCGCCAAGAGAUUAGCCCGCGUUGGAUUAGGUAGUUGGUGGGGUAAUGGCCUACCAAGCCGACGAUCCAUAGCUGGUUUGAGAGGAUGAUCAGCCACACUGGGACUGAGACACGGCCCAGACUCCUACGGGAGGCAGCAGUGGGGAAUCUUAGACAAUGGGGGAAACCCUGAUCUAGCCAUGCCGCGUGAGUGACGAAGGCCCUAGGGUCGUAAAGCUCUUUCGCCAGGGAUGAUAAUGACAGUACCUGGUAAAGAAACCCCGGCUAACUCCGUGCCAGCAGCCGCGGUAAUACGGAGGGGGUUAGCGUUGUGCGGAAUUACUGGGCGUAAAGCGCGCGUAGGCGGACUAUUAAGUCAGAGGUGAAAUCCCGGGGCUCAACCCCGGAACUGCCUUUGAUACUGGUAGUCUUGAGUUCGAGAGAGGUGAGUAGAAUUCCGAGUGUAGAGGUGAAAUUCGUAGAUAUUCGGAGGAAUACCAGUGGCGAAGGCGGCUCACUGGCUCGAUACUGACGCUGAGGUGCGAAAGCGUGG